AUCCCAUGAUGAGGAUAGGCAGCAAUAUAUUCCUACAGCCUUUCCCAAGCUUUUGGGAUCGUCUCAUCUCUUGUCUGCUGGAAGCUAGAUAUUCUACCACGAAGGGC
This is a non-coding RNA of Oryza punctata, 107 nucleotides long. NCBI's taxonomy places the organism in Eukaryota, Viridiplantae, Streptophyta, Magnoliopsida, Poales, Poaceae. The record is from Rfam.